GUUAGAAGGAUGCAAACCCAGUGUGACAUACUCACAGGUCACUAUGGGACCCUUGCCUUAUGGGAUGGAGAAAUGGGCCAUGACCGACCAUGGGGACUUCCAGUGCUGACUCCAUGAGACUCGUGUGAGCAGCGAGUCACCUCCAGCCUCACCUGGUAGACGGAGGUGGGAGAGACAGGGAAACAGACAGAAGGAGGCCUGGCCCAGAUCCUUGCACCCAAGCUGAGGUCUCUUUGACGUUAUUUUCAACAAAGGAAAUGUAUGCAUUUUCCAAAGUCAUGAAUUGAGGCACAUUUCUCUGGCUCUUGACAAUGGCUCUGUCACUGGAAUGGCUAGUGGUGGGGCCUCCACUGAGAUGCGGGUGCUGUCUCAGCCCAACCGCUGUGCACUCCUUGAGUCAGCACGGGUUCCCGGCCAUUUGGUUAUUUUUGAUCGCCAUGGCAAAAUAAAUAAUGAAUCAUCAGCAGGCUACGCACACCUUUCAAAAGAGUUUGUGGUUUUUGUCAAGGGUGUGUUGCUCAACAGUGCAGUGGUUCUGCUUGCCACCAGCCUGUGCCAGGCCCUCUGCCUCCAGCCGGAUGGGAGCUGCACGGGCGUAGGAAAGCUGUCUGAAAAGUCCUACUGGAGAGUGCAUAAAAUCAGCUCUGGGAUAUGCAUGUUUGAAAGUGUGAAGAAUGCACGGAUGUUUCUGAGGAUUAAGGACGGACGGUGUGACGGAGCUGGUAUAGGAGACAGUGACUGUCAUUUUAAAAUUAAGAAGAACUUGGAAAAUGCAUGUAUAAGCCUGGAAUCGGUGAAGAGCCCAGGAUUGUUUGUUGGACUUCAGUCAGAUGGACAGGCAAAACCAGUUGUUUAUACUGAGAACGGGAGUGUUUUCUUCUAUCCACAAGUCAUCAAAUUUGGCAGAGAAAACCCAAGUGGUAUGUCUGUAACACCCAGCCAAGAAGAGGAGAAGAUCCUGGAGUCAAGAAACCAGCAAGAAAUGCCAUCAGAACCAGAGGCCAGAGGAGCCUCUUCUUCAACUGCACUGUUCACUCCAGAACAAUACUUGAAAGGAAAGUGGUAUUAAAUGAUGACAUGAUAUUGAACUAUUACUUACAAAAUAUUUUAUGAAUUUUUUUAAUGAAUAACAGCAAAUUCUCACCAAAGACUCAGCAACAACAAAAAUAACUUCCCCCAUUUUCCUGAUACAGAAAUUAAGGCACGAAUAAAGUACUCUAGGCCUCAGAAGUUUGGAGUUUUAGUUUUCAUCUCUCAGUAUGUUUAAUUAUUUUCCUCGUUCUUAAAUGUAUUAUGUUCUAUGUGACUGACAAGCAAGAUGAAUGAUAUCUGAUAAAUUCUGUGCAUCAGAAGGUAGUCAUCUUUGGGCAAAAUGAAAUAAUGACCACUGUCUGUGAACCAUUUUUCUUAAAUCCAUCUUGAGAGACAGGUAUAACGUUAUCUUUAAAAAAGCUGCUUUUCGAAAAUGAGUUAUUGCAUGUGCUCUCUGUUCUUUAGAAAGUGACAGAACAUAGAUGUUUCUUGCUGAAAACCCCACGGUCAACUAGAGGGGCGGGGGAGUUAGCCUUUUGGUUUUUAUUGCAUUGGACUAGGCCCAGUUUUGUAUUUCAUGUCACAUCAUGAAUCCAUGGAGCCAUGUGACAAAUCACACUGCAUGAAAAACAUAUAUUUAGUUACAUUUUUUUCACAGAUGGGGAGUUUAAUCUUGUGUCAGGAAGUAAGGGCCCCUAAAUCUGGAAUGGCCACAUUAAGUAAAAUUUUCCUUGGUUGAAAAUAGCAUGCUUAAAAAAACAGAAAGAAAGAAAAGAAAAUAGCAUGCUAGUUGAAAUUUCUAGGAAUAUUUUUUUUAUGAGUAGCAAAAUACUUAAGAGAAAAAUCUUCUACAUAUUUUAUGCAAAUUUGUUCUGGCAGAAACAUUUAAAAAUGUUACCAUUGUUAAUUUUUUUAAGGUGUACAGCUUAUUUUGAUACAUUUAUGUACUGCAAUACUAUUGCCAUUGUAACAUUAGCUAACACCUCUAUCAUUAUAUGUUUAUUUCUUCUUUGCGAUGAGAAUAAUUAGAGUCUAGUCUCUCAGUAAAUUUGAUGUUUAUCAUACAAUCUUGUUGUUUGUAAUCACUACAAGGUGCAUAAGUUCUCUAGGUCUUAUUUGCAAGUUUGUACCUUAAAUAUCUCUCCUAAUUCUCCCCCUACUCCUGUCCUUGGUAACCACCAUUUUACUUUCUAUUUUCAUGAGUUCAGCUCUUUUAAGAUUCCAUGUAAAAGUGAUAUCAUAUUUGUCUCUUUCUGACUUAUCUUACUCAGCACAGGGUCUUCAGGGUCCAUCUGUAUUGCUGCAGUGGCAGCAUUUCCUUUGUUCUGAUGGCUGAAUAAUAAUUUCUAUGCAUUACUAUUAUUAUAGUAUUAUAAUUAUUAGUAUAAUUAAUAGUAUAAUUAUAAUUAUACUAUUAUUAUGUGUAUUAUAUGCAUUUCCAUUCUCCAUACAUCUGUUUGGGGGCACUUAGGUUGUUUCCACAUCUUGGUUAUUAUGAAUAAGGCUGCAAUAAACAUGUGAAUACACAUAUAUCUUUGAUACUUUGUUUUCAUUUUCUUUGGGUAAAUAACCAGAAGUAGAAUUACUGGGUUGUAUGGCAGUUCUGUUUUUAACUUCUUGAGAAACUUCCAUACUGUUUUCGACAGUAGCUGUACCAAUUUACAUUCCCUCAAAUGGUGCACAAGUGUUCUCUUUUCUCUAUAUCCUCACCAGCACUUUUAUUUCUAGUCUUUUUGAUAAUCGCCAUUCUAACAGGUGUGAGGUAAUGCCUCACUGUG
Molecule: long non-coding RNA, 2810 nt
Organism: Capra hircus (goat)
Lineage: Eukaryota; Metazoa; Chordata; Mammalia; Artiodactyla; Bovidae
Source: Ensembl